AAACUCUGGAGAAUCCCGAUAAACCAUAUCGGGUGCCGAAGGUGCAAGGCUUAUACCGAAUCUCUCAGGCAAAAGGACAGAAC
This 83-nucleotide non-coding RNA is filed under the name pig gut metagenome. Its description in RNAcentral is "Glycine riboswitch". It matches the Rfam family "Glycine riboswitch aptamer", at positions 10 to 85 of the family's 94-position model. Rfam says of the family: This family represents the bacterial glycine riboswitch. Glycine riboswitches usually consist of two metabolite-binding aptamers domains with similar structures in tandem. The record is from RNAcentral.